CGAAAUGCGAUAAGUAAUGUGAAUUGCAGAGUUUUGUGAAUCAUCGAGUUUUUGAACGCACAUUGCGCCCCUCGGUAUUCCGACGGGCAUGCCUGUCCGAGCGUCGUUUCGCAAACCAUCGAGUAACAUCUCGGUCUUGGGCUGCGUCCCCGCAAACCGUGGACGAGCCCCAAAGCCCUCGGCGGCCCCCGAGCGUCCGGCCGGAGCGUCUUCGAAAGCGCCCGCUCCGCGCCCGUGAGGGGGGAUCUCGCCUCGCGAACACGCGCGCGCCCCGCGCACCGACACAGAGGUUUGACCUCGGAUCAGGCAGGGCUACCCGCUGAACUUAAGC
This 331-nucleotide unclassified non-coding RNA is filed under the name plant metagenome. RNAcentral describes it as "partial contains 5.8S ribosomal RNA, internal transcribed spacer 2, and large subunit ribosomal RNA". The stretch from base 1 to 106 matches the Rfam family "5.8S ribosomal RNA", at positions 49 to 154 of the family's 154-position model. The record is from RNAcentral.